UAGGGAAUCUUCCGCAAUGGGCGAAAGCCUGACGGAGCAACGCCGCGUGAGUGAUGAAGGUCUUCGGAUCGUAAAACUCUGCUUUUAGGGAAGAACAAAUGUGUAAGUAACUAUGCACGUCUUGACGUUACCUAAUCAGAAAUCCACGGCUAACUACGUGCCAGCAGCCGCGGUCUUUCGUAGGUGGCAAGCUUUAUUCGGAAUUAUUUGGCGUAAAGCGCUCGUAGGCGGUUUUUUAAGUCUGAUGUGAAAGCCAACGGCUCAACCGUGGAGGGUCAUUCGAAACUGGAGAACUUGAGUGCAGAAGAUCAAAGUGGAAAUCCAUGUGUAGCGGUGAAAUGCGCAGAGAUGUGGAGGGACACCAGUGGCGAAGGCGACUUUCUGGUCUAUAACUGACGCUAAUGUGCGAAAGCGUGGUGAUCAAACAGG
Molecule: ribosomal RNA, 429 nt
Filed under: Actinomycetes bacterium
Lineage: Bacteria; Bacillati; Actinomycetota; Actinomycetes
Description: Actinobacteria bacterium partial 16S ribosomal RNA
Rfam family: Bacterial small subunit ribosomal RNA
Source: RNAcentral